AAAUUGAAGAGUUUGAUCAUGGCUCAGAUUGAACGCUGGCGGCAGGCCUAACACAUGCAAGUCGAACGGUAACAGGAGCAGCUUGCUGCUUUGCUG
Molecule: ribosomal RNA, 96 nt
Filed under: Salmonella enterica subsp. enterica serovar Montevideo str. 316111868
Lineage: Bacteria; Pseudomonadati; Pseudomonadota; Gammaproteobacteria; Enterobacterales; Enterobacteriaceae
Description: partial 16S ribosomal RNA
Rfam family: Bacterial small subunit ribosomal RNA
Source: RNAcentral